RNAcentral lists this RNase P RNA (309 nucleotides) under chicken gut metagenome. RNAcentral's name for it is "Bacterial RNase P class A". It matches the Rfam family "Bacterial RNase P class A", at positions 31 to 360 of the family's 367-position model. From Rfam's summary of the family: Ribonuclease P (RNase P) is a ubiquitous endoribonuclease, found in archaea, bacteria and eukarya as well as chloroplasts and mitochondria. Its best characterised activity is the generation of mature 5'-ends of tRNAs by cleaving the 5'-leader elements of precursor-tRNAs. The record is from RNAcentral.
AAGGAUCUGCGAGAGGAAAGUCCGGGCUCCAUAGAGCAAAGAUGCUAGAUAACGUCUAGUGAGGGCAACCUUAAGGAAAGUGCAACAGAAAAUAACCGCCAUGAAAAUGGUAAGGGUGAAAAGGCGAGGUAAGAGCUCACCGCUAAUAUGGUGACAUAUUAGGACAGUGUAAACCCCAUCUGGAGCAACACCUAAAUUAGAAUAAACACUUGCUCGGUGAUUCUAAAAUUGCGUGGCUUGAGGUAUAUAGUGAUAUAUAUUCUAGAUAAAUGACUAUUUUAAAAGACAGAACCCGGCUUACAGAUUUUC